RNAcentral lists this non-coding RNA (64 nucleotides) under unclassified sequences. RNAcentral describes it as "RAGATH-18 RNA". It matches the Rfam family "RAGATH-18 RNA". From Rfam's summary of the family: Actinobacteria, Firmicutes, Fusobacteria, Thermotogae (1 example). Nearby to self-cleaving ribozyme genes The record is from Rfam by way of RNAcentral.
UCUGUGGAGAGUCGUAACAAACUAGAGUAGUAGAAAUACAAAAUAGGACUUAUUGAAGCAGAAA